This 433-nucleotide ribosomal RNA is filed under the name uncultured bacterium. Its description in RNAcentral is "partial 16S ribosomal RNA". It matches the Rfam family "Bacterial small subunit ribosomal RNA", at positions 29 to 507 of the family's 1533-position model. The record is from RNAcentral.
AACGAACGCUGGCGGCAUGCCUAACACAUGCAAGUCGAACGAGACCUUCGGGUAUAGUGGCGCACGGGUGCGUAACGCGAGGGAACCUGCCCUUAGGUUCGGAAUAACUCCCCGAAAGGGGUGCUAAUACCGGAUAAUGUCUUCGGACCAAAGAUUUAUCGCCUUUGGAUGGGCCCGCGUUGGAUUAGCUAGUUGGUAGGGUAAAAGCCUACCAAGGCGACGAUCCAUAGCUGGUCUGAGAGGAUGAUCAGCCACACUGGGACUGAGACACGGCCCAGACUCCUACGGGAGGCAGCAGUGGGGAAUAUUGGACGAUGGGCGAAAGCCUGAUCCAGCAAUGCCGCGUGAGUGAUGAAGGCCUUAGGGUUGUAAAGCUCUUUUACCCGGGAUGAUAAUGACAGUACCGGGAGAAUAAGCUCCGGCUAACUCCGUG